This 468-nucleotide ribosomal RNA is filed under the name uncultured bacterium. RNAcentral describes it as "partial 16S ribosomal RNA". It matches the Rfam family "Bacterial small subunit ribosomal RNA", at positions 28 to 507 of the family's 1533-position model. The record is from RNAcentral.
GACGAACGCUGGCGGCGUGCUUAACACAUGCAAGUCGAACGGAAAGGCCCUGCUUUUGUGGGGUGCUCGAGUGGCGAACGGGUGAGUAACACGUGAGUAACCUGCCCUUGACUUUGGGAUAACUUCAGGAAACUGGGGCUAAUACCGGAUAGGAGCUCCUGCUGCAUGGUGGGGGUUGGAAAGUUUCGGCGGUUGGGGAUGGACUCGCGGCUUAUCAGCUUGUUGGUGGGGUAGUGGCUUACCAAGGCUUUGACGGGUAGCCGGCCUGAGAGGGUGACCGGCCACAUUGGGACAGAGAUACGGCCCAGAAUCCUACGGGAGGCAGCAGUGGGGAAUAUUGCACAAUGGGCGGAAGCCUGAUGCAGCAACGCCGCGUGCGGGAUGACGGCCUUCGGGUUGUAAACCGCUUUCGCCUGUGACGAAGCGUGAGUGACGGUAAUGGGUAAAGAAGCACCGGCUAACUACGUG